GUGCUCGUUUUGGCACCACAUAUACUAAAAUUGGAAUGAUACAGAGAAGGUUAGCAUGGCCUCUGUGCAGAGAUACACAAAUUUGUGAAAACUGUCUCUCUCUU
Small nuclear RNA from Cricetulus griseus (Chinese hamster), 104 nucleotides. Lineage: Eukaryota; Metazoa; Chordata; Mammalia; Rodentia; Cricetidae. The record is from Ensembl.